This is a long non-coding RNA of Gasterosteus aculeatus aculeatus (three-spined stickleback), 475 nucleotides long. The record is from Ensembl. NCBI's taxonomy places the organism in Eukaryota, Metazoa, Chordata, Actinopteri, Perciformes, Gasterosteidae.
UGCAGCACCUCCAGAGUCACCAUGGGCCUCGUGGUUGAUUCUCUGAUUUAUUUUCUCCCUCUCUGGCUUGUCACUUUGACUGGAUGGCCAUCUCUUGCUGGUCUAGUUGAGAUCUUCAAGCAAUUCCUGCCACCUGCUGCUGAUCUUCUUGAUUGCCUCUCCUCGCCUCCAGUAUUUAAGCCCGGUCUGAACUUCCAGUCUUCGGCAGUUCGUCAGUUACUCUUGUGGUAAUUCCCGGCUGCUGUUCUUUCGAAUAGUAUUUUGGUUGCUUAACUAUUAGUACUGGUAUUGCUGUCCAGGAUUUAACUCCCAGCAGUCUGCUUCUUCCCCAGUUUUACUCUGUGUCCUGCUUCUCCGCCUUGACCAGCUCUUCUUCCGGCCUCGCCAGUUCCCAUCCGGAGCUCCAGCCUCCCCAGUAUCAACCUUUAUCAACCUGUGUGUUAAAAUAAACUUCAGUACUGAAGUUCAGUCUGCC